CCCGACUGCUAUCGGAUUGAGAUUUAACCAAGCGAGUCGAACGUCCCCCUGUUGCGGGGGGCGUGGCGUACGGCUCAGUAACACGUAGUCAACCUGCCCUGGAGACAAGGACAACCCCGGGAAACUGGGAUUAAUCCUCGAUAGGCCAUCUCAUCUGGAAGGAGAGAUGGCUUAAAGGGGUACGCGGGCUUCUUCCGCGUAUUCGCUCCAGGAUGGGACUGCGUCCGAUCAGGCUGUUGGCGGGGUAAUGGCCCACCAAACCUGUAACCGGUACGGGCCUUGAGAGAGGUGGCCCGGACAUGGACACUGAGAGAAGGGUCCAGGUCCUACGGGGCGCAGCAGGCGCGAAACCUUCUCAAUGCGCGAAAGCGUGACGAGGUUAAUCCGAGUGGCCCCCGCUGAGGGGGUCUUUUGUCAGCUGUAAAUAGGCAGGCGAAUUACGGGACGGCAAGCCUGGUGU
Molecule: ribosomal RNA, 460 nt
Filed under: uncultured archaeon
Lineage: Archaea
Description: bacterial SSU rRNA
Rfam family: Archaeal small subunit ribosomal RNA
Source: RNAcentral